Molecule: ribosomal RNA, 506 nt
Filed under: uncultured bacterium
Lineage: Bacteria
Description: partial 16S ribosomal RNA
Rfam family: Bacterial small subunit ribosomal RNA
Source: RNAcentral
GAUGAACGCUAGCUACAGGCUUAACACAUGCAAGUCGAGGGGUAACGAGAGGAAAGCUUGCUUUCCUUGUCGACGACCGGCGCACGGGUGAGUAACGCGUAUCCAACCUGCCCCCAACUAGGGAAUAACCUUGCGAAAGUAAGACUAAUACCCUAUAAUUUCCUCAGAUGUCAUCUGACGAGGAAUAAAGAUUUAUCGGUUGUGGAUGGGGAUGCGUCUGAUUAGCUUGUUGGCGGGGUAACGGCCCACCAAGGCAACGAUUAGUAGGGGUUCUGGGAGGAAGGUCCCCCACAUUGGAACUGAGACACGGUCCAAACUCCUACGGGAGGCAGCAGUGAGGAAUAUUGGUCAAUGGGCGGAAGCCUGAACCAGCCAAGUAGCGUGCAGGAUGACGGCCCUAUGGGUUGUAAACUGCUUUUAUACAGGAAUAAAGUUAACCACGUGUGGUUAUUUGUAGGUACUGUAUGAAUAAGGACCGGCUAAUUCCGUGCCAGCAGCCGCGGUAA